This 339-nucleotide unclassified non-coding RNA is filed under the name soil metagenome. Its description in RNAcentral is "partial contains 5.8S ribosomal RNA, internal transcribed spacer 2, and large subunit ribosomal RNA". The stretch from base 1 to 120 matches the Rfam family "5.8S ribosomal RNA", at positions 35 to 154 of the family's 154-position model. The record is from RNAcentral.
GAUGAAGAACGUAGUGAAAUGCGAUAAGUAGUGUGAAUUGCAGAAUUCAGUGAAUCAUCGAAUCUUUGAACGCACAUUGCGCCCCUUGGUAUUCCAUGGGGCAUGCCUGUUCGAGCGUCAUUUGUACCCUCAAGCUUUGCUUGGUGAUGGGUGUUUGUUCCGCUGCAACGCGUGAACUCGCCUCAAAUCAAUUGGCAGCCGGCAGUCUGGUGUUUGAGCGCAGCACAUUUUGCGCUCUUCGCUGUGUAUUGCGGGCGUCCAUGAAGCCUAUAUUUUCGCGCUUGACCUCGGAUCAGGUAGGGAUACCCGCUGAACUUAAGCAUAUCAAUAAGCGGAGGA